CAGUCGCCGCGGUAAAACGGAGGGGGCUAGCGUUGUUCGGAAUUACUAGGCGUAAAGCGCACGUAGGCGGCUUUGUAAGUUAGAGGUGAAAGCCCGGAGCUCAACUCCGGAAUUGCCUUUAAGACUGCAUCGCUUGAACCCAGGAGAGGUGAGUGGAAUUCCGAGUGUAGAGGUGAAAUUCGUAGAUAUUCGGAAGAACACCAGUGGCGAAGGCGGCUCACUGGACUGGUAUUGACGCUGAGGUGCGAAAGCGUGGGGAGCAAACAGGAUUAGAUACCCCCGUAGUCCCUGUCUCUUAUAC
This 301-nucleotide ribosomal RNA is filed under the name uncultured bacterium. Its description in RNAcentral is "partial 16S ribosomal RNA". It matches the Rfam family "Bacterial small subunit ribosomal RNA", at positions 509 to 807 of the family's 1533-position model. The record is from RNAcentral.